CUACCCUUGACAUGCUAGGAAGCUCGCAGAGAUGUGAGUGUGCCCGAAAGGGAACCUAGACACAGGUGCUGCAUGGCUGUCGUCAGCUCGUGUCGUGAGAUGUUGGGUUAAGUCCCGCAACGAGCGCAACCCUUGCCAUUAGUUGCUACAUUCAGUUGGGCACUCUAAUGGGACUGCCGGUGACAAACCGGAGGAAGGUGGGGAUGACGUCAAGUCCUCAUGGCCCUUAUGGGUAGGGCUUCACACGUAAUACAAUGGUAGGUACAAAGGGCAGCCAACCCGCGAGGGGGAGCUAAUCCCAGAAAGCCUAUCGUAGUCCGGAUUGUAGUCUGCAACUCGACUGCAUGAAGCCGGAAUCGCUAGUAAUCGUGGAUCAGCAUGUCACGGUGAAUACGUUCCC
This 400-nucleotide ribosomal RNA is filed under the name uncultured bacterium. RNAcentral describes it as "bacterial SSU rRNA". It matches the Rfam family "Bacterial small subunit ribosomal RNA", at positions 975 to 1375 of the family's 1533-position model. The record is from RNAcentral.